RNAcentral lists this ribosomal RNA (253 nucleotides) under uncultured bacterium. RNAcentral describes it as "partial 16S ribosomal RNA". It matches the Rfam family "Bacterial small subunit ribosomal RNA", at positions 524 to 776 of the family's 1533-position model. The record is from RNAcentral.
UACGAAGGUGGCAAGCGUUACUCGGAAUUACUAGGCGUAAAGGGCAGGUAGGUGGUUUGGUUAGUCUGUUGUGAAAGCUCCUUGCUUAACGGGGAGAGGUCAACAGAUACUGCCAGGCUUGAGUAUGGGAGAGGGUACUGGAAUUCCCGGUGUAGCGGUGAAAUGCGCAGAUAUCGGGAGGAACACCAAUUGCGAAGGCAGCUCGCUGGGACGUUACUGACGCUGAGACGCGAAAGCGUGGGGAGCGAACAGG